GAACACGCCCGAAGCGGGAAGGUCACGUAGCACACGCACGCCGCCGGGUUUCUCUAGAAGACCGACGUUCUGAGCGGCAAACAGCCUGACGACGGCUGGGCGGCAGGGGUGUCGGGCCGAGGACAGCCCACGGUGCCUUCGGUACCACGAGGCACCUCCACGAGGCACGCGUGGCGGCCUCUGAGCCUCCGUCCGCCCCUCCUGGCUGCUGCCCUCAGGUGUCACCCACGGAGACCUCUCCUGUGACGCCGAGCCUGGUGACUGGGGGACGAACUCUCACAGGUGUCCCGCGAACCCCCUUCUACCCCCUGCCAGGUCCCACACACAGAGGGACCCCAUCUGCGUAUCUUAAAUGCUGCCUGAAGCAACGCUGGAUUCGCAAGUCAGCUGCUUCUCGCAGUUCUCUAGCCAGAUCCUACAUUCUGGCUACGAAAGAGGAGAUGGCAGAGGGGACCAGUGGGUGCUCAGAGUGUUCUUCAUACCACUCGGAGGUGCUGAGGUCAGAGCUGUGUCCACUCUCGGCAGACCAGAGGCGACAAGGCAGUGGUCCGCCUCUUCACUGCCACGGUCCAGGGCCGUGCAGAGGCCAGCAUCCACGUGUCAAGCCUGGUCACAAUGAAAAGAGAAAAACCACUAAUGGGGAAAAAAAUGUCCUCUCACUGAACCUUAAAAUGUAAGCCCUCAACAGCUGCCAACUUUUAUGAAUUCAUGUACCUCAACUCGGUCCCAACUAUAAUAAGUUCAUCAUACAUUAAAAUUAAAAAAAAAAAAAAAUGCAGUUCAAGGAGAGCCAAAGGCUAAACACAGAAGGCAUCCGUGGCUGCUUCCAAGGGUGUAGUUCUGGGGGGCGUCUACGCUCCGAAACACCAAGGCCCAAAGCAAAACCCCACUACGCAUUAGCGUGGAGCACUGCUUUGAUGGGUGCAGAAAAUGGUUUGGUCUCAUAUUUUAUUACAUCAAUGGCUUGAAAAUUUUUUAUUUAACUUCAGCAAAUAUUAGAAAUAGAAAAAUGAAUUCUGCAGAAUUUCACAAAUAAAUUUUUCGAUCUCCACUAACAAAUGUUAUCAUUCAAUGGCUAAGCAAUUAUAAUGCUAUGAACAUUCACCACAAUGAGUGUGCUGAUAUAGAAAACAGGCAAAAAGAGACAUUAAAAUAUUACUUACAACAGCAUUAUUAACAACAUAUUUUCUUUAAAAUUCCAACAUGGAUUUUAUCACUUCAAAAGAUAAACAGCAUUUCCAUUAUAUUUGCAAACUUAACCUUAUACAUCUUUUAAAAUCUUGAAAAAUUUUUAAGCAAUCUAAAAAGCACUUAGCAAAGUUGAUAGGUCUACGUAAUGGAAUACUAUCCACUCCAGUAAAAAUUUUAGUUUUCGGAGAAGGUGACUGUAAACACUCAUUAUCACACGACAUGCAUAGACUCUACUGACCUUCCUUCUUCUGAAUUGUAACAUUGCCGCAAUUGUGCUUUAGUGUAAGAGGGAAAGCUGCAGGGACCCAGGGAGGGGCGGAGAGAGAAUCUGUUUUUGAGCAUUGCACAAGAUCACUAGAUUCAGAUUAGCUAACUACCUUGAGUCAACGGGAAGCCAAGUUUCACUCGAUACUGAAAGCUUGGAUCCUGGGUCACUGGGCUUAGACACAGGCUGGACGAGAGAGGAGACGAGGCUCUCGUCUGAGUUGGCUCCGUCUUUCCUUUGCUCCGUUUAAGCAGGGAUCCAGUUAGUGUAAUGCACUGUUUGGCUUAUUUUUGGUAUGCAAUUAUACCAAUAGUACAUCUGAUAUUUAGAGAGACAAAAAUAGGGCGUAGUUGAAAUUUAAAGUGACAGUGAGCACACUUAGAGUGGUGCGUGGUGUCUGAGGGAACUUUUAUACACAGAAAACAACCGCUCAGUUAGUCCACCACAGUAAGCUUGUAAAACGCAACGAUUUUUUCAUUUUCAUUUCUUGAUUAGAGAGGUUGGUGACCAUCGAAGGGCUGUAUAGGUUAAAAACUAUCAAAAUCCAUUUUGAGGAACUGGUGUCCUAGUGGCCACAAACACCCCAAGACCACGCGGUGGGUGUGUUACUCUAGCUGCCGCCUCCUGUAGGCACCAGCACCUGACUGUGAGCACAACUGAGGCGCGGCCUUCCUGGUUAAACAGCUAUGUUACAGGGUCGAUCACUGGUUCGGACCAGUCAGCACAAUAUUCAAGUAACAAGGUGUUUAAAUGGAUAAGUGAAAACAAUUUUUACCUAACACUUGACACACCUACAUAAAAUUAAAUAGAACAAACUUUUAAUGCAUAUGCAGUACAAUUUAUAUCUUUUAGGAUUUCUAAACUAAAAGUUAAACUAUCAUUUGCUUCAAUGGUACUAUAUUUUGCACAAUAACUUAUACUUAGGAGAAAUUUUCCACAAAAAUAUAUAUAUAAUUAUGACAUUCACAUUGAUCAAUUUUUAAGAAGACAAAGCUUAAGUGAACACUGCAUCCGCAGCAGCUGUCACCGUGGACCCUUAUACAUCCAAACACGACCUGCUGAUGCACCGAAGUCUUGAUAUGUUAAAAAAGGGGCUUCACAUAAAUAAGAUCAAUCACUCAGCUUUUAAAGCUAAGUGAUUUCUUGCAUUUACAACAUCAUUGCAAAGACAGUGUAAUGAAACAGUUUAAAACACAGUGCUACGUUAUGCUUGAAACUACAAGGUGGAGAAGGAGUCAGGCAAAGACAACCAUCUUUCUUCCUUCUGGCCAAUGACAACAACGAUGCCCCCUUCUGGUGGAGAAAGCCAGAGCCGGGCUGCUGUGGCCGGCCUCGGGUACUGGAGCAGUGAUUCCUCAGCACUGGGCGAGCACAUGAGGGGAUGGUGCAGAACACACCCAGGGGCCCCGCUCCCUAGGAACCAGCAUGGGGCUUUCACGCCUUGCCAGAAGGAGAACUGCCCGGGCACGGAGAGGAACAGAUCUACUGGCAGAACGAGACCCACUGCAGCAAACUGCCUGCUGCUUCCAUAAAGAGGAAGGAGGCCUUGAGAAGCAAAGAGAACCUACGGCCUCGCUUCUUGCCUAGUGUCCCCUUUAAGCGAUGUGCAAAACUUUUGCCACCUCCUCUCCAUGGUUUACCUGCCAUUUUCCAAUCACACAGCAGGCUUAGGAUACGAGCCCAAACCAAUCCUACCUCGUGACUAGUGUUACUAGGCUACCCCGUCUAGGUAGGAGCAGCGAGCUGUGACUGCCCUCUGGCCUCCUCCGAUGCCGUUCUUCACACGCUCUUACCUGACCCACAGACUCCCUGUGAAGGGACAAGAUGACAAAAGUUGGGAAAGUCCCAUUUUACUGCCCCUGUGAAUGACCUUUCUCCAGAUUUCUAAAAACAUACAAAUCCAAACAGUCUAGGUUUCUAGCUGACGUUCUUCCUAAAGAGACAAUCAGCUGACUUUAAAAAAAAGUGGGGGGGGCGGGGAGGGGGGGAGGCAAGGUGCUUGGGAGUCAAAACACAUCAGAUUUUAAUUGCAUAUUUUAAAUUCUUAAGAAUUCUGUUUGUGCCUUAAAGCAUCUGCAUUUUUUUCUUUUUGGUAUUGAAAGCAGGAAAAAUAUUUAAAUGAUGCAAAACAGCAACAACAAAAG
Molecule: long non-coding RNA, 3600 nt
Organism: Mirounga angustirostris (Northern elephant seal)
Lineage: Eukaryota; Metazoa; Chordata; Mammalia; Carnivora; Phocidae
Exons: 2
Source: RefSeq, a predicted model, not a curated record